CCUUCACACCUGCAACCAAUUCCUAAUGGCAUCUAUUAGAUCAGCCAGCCAAACAUCAUUUCCCACAUCAGAAAGAUGUACGCCAUCUUUGCGGUAGAGGGACACCUCGCCGAACUUGAUGGUGGGGUGCUCGAUCACGCUGUCAGUGCUACCACUCUAUGAGCCACCAAUCCAAGAGUUUCCUGGCUUUGUUUAUCGCAAUAGGGCAAUGCCACACAUGCCUCUCCAGCAGUGAUGACCAAAAUAGGGUCAGGUUUGGGAAAGAGGCAAUCAGUUCAUCAAAGUCCUUGUAAAUGUUCCACGCCCUUUCGAUAGGCCAAGUCAUUUUCUCCCAGCUGUAUAAACAAGACAUCAGGGGAACCAUGCAUGGCAACACUAGCUUUCACUGCUGGCAGGAAUUCAGCCCAAUGCAUUCCCCUCCAUGUGAUCCAGGAAACUCUAACAUUCACUGGUCAUCCCAGCCUGCACCCCAGAUCUUGAUCAAAGACACGAGCUCAAGCCCAGUGGACAAUUCUGUGGCCAGUUAUCCAAACGUGAACCCCUACAUCACCUGAAAUUAAAAUGGAAUGACAAGGAUGAAAAGGUAAAGUCAGUUAUGAUUCAUUGGGCUAAAGAUUUUGGGUAUAAUAUACAGCUGAGUGAUUGGGAAAAAUUAUGGAAAGAAGGUUUAAAGUUUACUGCAUGCAAUGCCUUAAAAGAAAAUGUGAUGAAAAUGAUGUAUAGAUGGUAUAUUACACCCAUUAAAUUAGCUAAAAUGUAUAAAGUUACUAAUAAAUGUUGGAAAUGUAAAGAAAAAGAAGGAACAUUUUAUCACAUGUGGUGGGAAUGUAAAAAAGUGAAAAGCUUCUGGGAAAUGAUAUAGAACGAGAUGAAAAAAAUGUUGAAAUAUACAUUUAUAAAGAAACCAGAAGCAUUUUUACUGGGCAUUGUAGGAAGUGAUAUAAAUAGAAAAGAAUGUAAGCUGUUUUUAUAUGCAACGACGGCAGCAAGAAUAUUAUUGGCACAAAAAUGGAAGCAAGAAGAAUUACCGACGAAAGAAGAAUGGAGGAUGAAGUUAAUGGACUAUGCAGAACUAGAUAAACUAACAGGAAGGAUUCGAAAUCUGCGGGACCAGAAAUUCACAGAAGACUGGUGUAAAUUUACAGACUAUUUGAAAAGCAAUUGUGAUGAUCAGACUACGUUUGUAGGUUUGCAAGAAGUUUUGUGGGGUGAAUUAUUGGAACUAUUGCAAAAAUGGAUAAAGGGGAGGAUGGUUAGUUAAGAUAAUUAAAGGCAAUAGAAAUUUAAGAAAUGCAUAAGAAGUGAUGAAAACGGUGGAUCAUCAGAGGUGCUGAUGUCAAAAAAAAGAUUGUAUAAGUGGUGAAGUUUUGU
Molecule: long non-coding RNA, 1371 nt
Filed under: Podarcis lilfordi (Lilford's wall lizard)
Lineage: Eukaryota; Metazoa; Chordata; Lepidosauria; Squamata; Lacertidae
Source: RNAcentral